ACGUGAAGAACUUCUGGUGGUCAGCCAUAUUGGAUUCGUCUCAUUCUGUAGUUUUGGUUAAAAGAAAUUAAAAUGAAUGGUGAAAAGAAAAGUAGAUUCCGUUUCACAGAAUUAGAAAGAAUAAAAGCUCUGGAAGAGUUUUUUAAUCAAGUUUGCGAAGAUAUUACAAACUGAGAAGAAGAGUUAUGGGGAAGCAUACACACUGUUCUUUGCCGAGAUUCUUUAAGGUUUACGUCUUGUAGCUUGAGAUUAUUAAAAGAGCAUAUACUCGAUCAAAUAAAAAAAUAUAAAAUGUACGAUUCUAUGGAGGCGAAGGAAAGUGGCCGUGAGAGAUUGCAAACAGCAUGGGGAGAUAUAAUUCGACGAAUUAUGAUUGUAUGCCCAAAUUAUGAGAGAUUGGUGAAAAGAGAUGCCAUAUUAAAAGUAACAAAGGACAAAGGCACAACAAAAGAGGCAGGCAAACAACAGAGUGAUGUGGAAAUUGCCCGAAGUAUUCGUAAUGCUGCGUUAGGAAUGUUAUCUCUUGGAAAUGCUGAUGAUGAAAGCAACAAAGAAAAUGUACAUAUUUAAGAUGAAG
RNAcentral lists this long non-coding RNA (577 nucleotides) under Androctonus crassicauda. Lineage: Eukaryota; Metazoa; Arthropoda; Arachnida; Scorpiones; Buthidae. The record is from RNAcentral.